This 543-nucleotide long non-coding RNA is filed under the name Anas platyrhynchos platyrhynchos (common mallard). RNAcentral's name for it is "lncRNA (ENSAPLG00000029469.1)". The record is from RNAcentral. Lineage: Eukaryota; Metazoa; Chordata; Aves; Anseriformes; Anatidae.
AUGCAUCUGGGAGGCUCAGACCCACCACCCCCAGGGAUCCUCCUGGUGCAGCAGCCUCCGGAGCAGAAAGAACAAGAAGCUCCAAAAGCCUGUAGGUCUCGAUGCAAUCCUUCUGGACUUUUGGACUGCGCUCACAAGGCCAGAGCUGGACCCUGUGGUUUCCUCCAGCUGAAUGGAUUCACGGCUGCUCCUGCUCUCUGCACCAAGCGAGGAAAAAUAUCUGUCAUGGCUUAUCUAUCAGGCAAUGAAUGUGUUUGGGGUGGAAAGUUGAGGUCUGUUGCUUGUACUGAUGGCACAGUUACAGCCUGGAAUGUGCAAGAGGGUGAGCAGAGGCGGUCAGGCUCCUUGCAGGCAGUACCACAUCCGAAAGCCAUCACAGCCCCAGCACGGGCUCACGACGGCUGCUUGCAGAGCCUGGCAGGGGCAAUCUGGGCAACAGCUCGCUGCUUUUCCACAUCGCCGCUUUCACGCUGCUCAACUACUCACUCAGUAAACAAGGAGCUUUUCCUAUCUCUUCUGCAGGAGGAACCACUUGUGCACUGA